CUAGAGCAAAGCUCUAAGCUGAAUGAUCCACAGUGGACAUGUUGUAUGACUGCCUCGCAUGAUGGCAAAUGGCAUAUUUAAAUGGUAAAAGGCUUGAUCUCUAUCUCAAAACAUUUGACAUACUCACACUGAAGAUGGAAAAAACUGUUUUUGAUGGCUUCAGAGGAAAGACUGUGUACUAAGAAGAGCAAGACUCAGGGUGGAACAGCCCUUCUCUGGAGCAUACCAAAGAAGAAUUGGAUCCAACCUAUAGUUGACCA
Molecule: long non-coding RNA, 260 nt
Filed under: Homo sapiens (human)
Lineage: Eukaryota; Metazoa; Chordata; Mammalia; Primates; Hominidae
Description: HSALNT0354259
Source: RNAcentral